Molecule: long non-coding RNA, 436 nt
Organism: Malaclemys terrapin pileata
Lineage: Eukaryota; Metazoa; Chordata; Testudines; Emydidae
Exons: 3
Source: RefSeq, a predicted model, not a curated record
AAAGCCCUUGGACUGAGCUGGGCCAUACCACAGGAGGAGGCCGUUUCUGCCUGAGAGUGAAGAAAGACCUUACUACAUCCUGCUGUCUGGAGGUGCCUGUGCACUAAAUACACAUGUAAGGGUUUAUGAGCAACUCUGUCUCUGAACCUUCCUGCUAAAGGCCUUUAAAGUCAAUGGAAAUAUUCCCACUGAAGAAAAAUGGGUGUUGGAUUCACCCAAAAGCUCACCUGACAAACUGGUUUUGCAAAACUACUUUCCUGAGGCUGGAUGCUCCUAUGUAAAGAAGAUUCAGAAACGGAGAUUGCUCAUGUUAAUAGAAUUUACAAAGGACUGGAAGUAAUCACACUUGCUUUGUGACCUUGGGCAUUCAACCUGUCUGUGCCUCCAAAAUCCCAUCUGUAAAAUGGGGACAAUGAUUAAACUUCAGAGCUACAAA